CAAGGAUUCCCCUAGUAACUGCGAGUGAAGAGGGAAAAGCUCAAAUUUAAAAUCUGGCGGUUUUGUCGCCCGAGUUGUAAUCUGGAGAAGCGUUUUCCGCGCCGGACCGUGUACAAGUCUCUUGGAACAGAGUGUCAUAGAGGGUGAGAAUCCCGUCCAUGACACGGACUCCCGGUGCUUUGUGAUACGCUCUCGAAGAGUCGAGUUGUUUGGGAAUGCAGCUCAAAAUGGGUGGUAAGCUCCAUCUAAAGCUAAAUAUUGGCGAGAGACCGAUAGCGAACAAGUACCGUGAGGGAAAGAUGAAAAGCACUUUGGAAAGAGAGUAAAACAGUACGUGAAAUUGUUGAAAGGGAAACGCUUGAAGUCAGUCGCAUCUUACUUGACUCAGCCUUGCUUCGGCUUGGUGUAUUUCAAGUAGGAUGGGUCAACAUCGAUUUUGACCGGCGGACAAGGGGUGAAGGAAUGUGGCACUCUUCGGAGUGUGUUAUAACCUUUUCUCAUAUACGUCGGUUGGGAUUGAGGCCCGCAGCGCGCCCUUGUGGCCGGAGGUUCGCCUCACGUAACGCGCUUAGGAUGUUGGCAUAAUGGCUUUAGCGACC
This 599-nucleotide ribosomal RNA is filed under the name Fuscoporia torulosa. RNAcentral's name for it is "eukaryotic LSU rRNA". It matches the Rfam family "Eukaryotic large subunit ribosomal RNA", at positions 69 to 649 of the family's 3401-position model. The record is from RNAcentral. Lineage: Eukaryota; Fungi; Basidiomycota; Agaricomycetes; Hymenochaetales; Hymenochaetaceae.